This 322-nucleotide ribosomal RNA is filed under the name uncultured bacterium. RNAcentral describes it as "bacterial SSU rRNA". It matches the Rfam family "Bacterial small subunit ribosomal RNA", at positions 29 to 341 of the family's 1533-position model. The record is from RNAcentral.
AACGAACGCUGGCGGCGCGCCUAAUACAUGCAAGUCGAGCGAGGAGGUGUAGCAAUACACUUGUAAAGCGGCGAACGGGUGAGGAAUGCAUGGGUAACCUACCCUCGAGUGGGGAAUAACUAGCCGAAAGGUUAGCUAAUACCGCAUACGUUUCCGGAACUUCGGUUUCGGAAAGAAAGCAAUACCGUGGGUAUUGCGCUCCUGGAUGGGCUCAUGUCCUAUCAGCUUGUUGGUGAGGUAACGGCUCACCAAGGCUUCGACGGGUAGCUGGUCUGAGAGGACGAUCAGCCACACUGGCACUGCGACACGGGCCAGACUCCUA